CGUCGACCGGCGCACGGGUGAGUAACGCGUAUCCAACCUUCCCAUUACUGUGGGAUAACCUGCCGAAAGGCAGACUAAUACCGCAUAGUCUUCGAUGACGGCAUCAGAUUUGAAGUAAAGAUUUAUCGGUAAUGGAUGGGGAUGCGUCUGAUUAGCUUGUUGGCGGGGUAACGGCCCACCAAGGCUACGAUCAGUAGGGGUUCUGAGAGGAAGGUCCCCCACAUUGGAACUGAGACACGGUCCAA
This 245-nucleotide ribosomal RNA is filed under the name uncultured Bacteroidales bacterium. RNAcentral's name for it is "partial 16S ribosomal RNA". It matches the Rfam family "Bacterial small subunit ribosomal RNA", at positions 89 to 334 of the family's 1533-position model. Lineage: Bacteria; Pseudomonadati; Bacteroidota; Bacteroidia; Bacteroidales. The record is from RNAcentral.